RNAcentral lists this ribosomal RNA (153 nucleotides) under Xanthoria calcicola. Its description in RNAcentral is "5.8S ribosomal RNA". It matches the Rfam family "5.8S ribosomal RNA". From Rfam's summary of the family: 5.8S ribosomal RNA (5.8S rRNA) is a component of the large subunit of the eukaryotic ribosome. It is transcribed by RNA polymerase I as part of the 45S precursor that also contains 18S and 28S rRNA. The record is from RNAcentral. Lineage: Eukaryota; Fungi; Ascomycota; Lecanoromycetes; Teloschistales; Teloschistaceae.
CUUUCAACAACGGAUCUCUUGGUUCUGGCAUCGAUGAAGAACGCAGCGAAAUGCGAUAAGUAAUGUGAAUUGCAGAAUUCAGUGAAUCAUCGAAUCUUUGAACGCACAUUGCGCCCCCUGGUAUUCCGGGGGGCAUGCCUGUUCGAGCGCGCA